Columba livia (rock pigeon) is the source of this 1853-nucleotide long non-coding RNA. RefSeq lists it as uncharacterized. The record is from RefSeq and is a predicted model, not a curated record. The transcript is spliced from 5 exons. Lineage: Eukaryota; Metazoa; Chordata; Aves; Columbiformes; Columbidae.
AGUAGGGCCCGAGUUGUUAUCUGUUUGCAUCUGCUUAGUCCUGCGCUAUUCUGGGAGUCUUAGAUGUGGUCAGGGCUCUGGAGGAGGUGGGGAGAGCUGGCAGGCACACAAGCAUGACUGGAGCUCUGGGGAUGUAAUUUCCAAUCAAGUGAUCCCCCACAAGCUGGGUAAACAUCCUUUGAUUUGAGCAAUGCUCCAGCAGACAAAGAGAUCCUGUCAUUGUUCUGUACCGGCUCAGCAGGUCCCAGCACCAUCGCGCUGUUGUUCAAGUUCCAGCUCAACCCAAAUCUGACCCUCCCAGUACAAUCCACAAAAAUAACCCUGAAACUCAGAGCUGCUAGGUGAGCUCUAGAGGGAAGGGAGGCUUUUAUUGGUUUUCCCCCAAAAGGAUAGUGAAUGGGACAACGGUUUUCAGAAACGUGGCUGGUGGUGUGAGAGGCUGUCAGAAUGGAGCCCCACAGCACAAGUCUCAUGGCCACUCAUCCAUGGAAGAGCAGAUGUUUCCCAUCAGAAGGUUAGGAUUGUGGCGUGGGCGCUCCUGUGCUUCUCCAGGACAACCUUUUCUCCUGGCCCUGGCUCCAGUGUCCUCUGGUCUGAAGCCUCUCAGGGUGCUGGGUGGGAGCUGGGGGACAGCUGACUUGCUCCCCCACCCCCCCGAGACUCUGAUUUUGACCAGCUGAGCUCCUGCCUGGAGGUCUCUGGGUCAGUCCUGAUGUCCAAGCUGUCCAGAGGUACCUCCCAGCUGUUGUAAGGUGACCUAUAUCCACGAGGGGUAGGGACAACUUGUAUUUCCUGUGUUUCGCUUUCAGCUGGGGAUAUUUGUGCCUGAACACCCUGGUAUCAGACUGUUUCAUGCUGUGGAUGUUUCUGUUCGUUCUCCCUCACCUCCCACCGUGCUGGCUGACCUUCACCCAGGCUGAGGAGGAAGCUGCGCAGUGUAAUGCAAAAUACCAGGUGGGAAAUAAAACCGGGGUAGGAAAAACAGCACUGCCGUGUCCUUGGGGAAGCAGAGUGAUACACUCCUUCCUCUGACAGCCUGGCGAGCGGCCACCUCUGCAGAAAGGAAAAUGUGUUGUACAUCCCCGGCCAGGUUUCCAGGUUUAGGAUGCCCAGGCCAGGAGGGACCAGUGGUUGCACAGCCUGCUUUGUGAGGCUUCAGUAACUCCUCACUUGCAGCAACUAGGGCAUGCCUUUCAAACAGACCACAGUGCAACAGCUCCAGACGGCCACCCAACAUCUGCUCUGGCAACUUGAGGCUCCCAGAGGGUUAGCGUGUCUCCUGACCGUGACCGGGGAAGAGCAUGUCUCUGGGAGUCCCAUGGCACAUGAUGACCAGACGGGGAGUGAAGCAUCAUUUCUCUGCAGAGUGACGUGUCAGCUGAUGUCACAGCAUCUCUCCAAGGGUAUUUUGGAUCCACGUUUGCUCGGCCCCGAAUGUGCGACUCCCUUGACCGUGCUCAGGGCUGAGUUCCCAAGCAUGUAACUCUCAAUCCAUGGAGAAAGACCCUUUCAAAUGCCUCUGUUCACUCGCUCUGCCAAUUAAAAUGAAAUGAAAACCAUAAUGCCAUAAAAUCUGGGAAACGUCCAGAAGACGAAUUAUGAAAUCAUUUCCUCUUGGUUUAACUGCAGUUUCAGCCUCUUUGCUGAGAUCAGCCAGAGGCUGAGGCCAAGGAGACAGUUGGAGUUGGGGAGGAAGAAAGACAACAAAUGGGUGAAAUUAUAACACGUCUCUGGAGAAGAGGCAUGGGGGCAGCUCCGAGAGUUGGGAAAAGAAGGAAGAAGCCCAACCUGACCAGAAAUUGUAACUGUUGAUGAACAACUGGAGCCAAAAAUAAAGAUAUUAUUGGACUAUU